This 456-nucleotide ribosomal RNA is filed under the name uncultured bacterium. RNAcentral describes it as "partial 16S ribosomal RNA". It matches the Rfam family "Bacterial small subunit ribosomal RNA", at positions 355 to 824 of the family's 1533-position model. The record is from RNAcentral.
UGGGGAAUCUUAGACAAUGGGGGAACCCUGAUCUAGCCAUGCCGCGUGAGCGAUGAAGGCCUUAGGGUUGUAAAGCUCUUUUCAGCUGGGAAGAUAAUGACGGUACCAGCAGAAGAAGCCCCGGCUAACUCCGUGCCAGCAGCCGCGGUAAUACGGAGGGGGCUAGCGUUGUUCGGAAUUACUGGGCGUAAAGCGCACGUAGGCGGAUUAGUCAGUCAGAGGUGAAAUCCCAGGGCUCAACCCUGGAACUGCCUUUGAUACUGCUAGUCUUGAGGUCGAGAGAGGUGAGUGGAAUUUCCCGAGUGUAGAGGUGAAAUUCGUAGAUAUUCGGAGGAACACCAGUGGCGAAGGCGGCUCACUGGCUCGAUACUGACGCUGAGGUGCGAAAGCGUGGGGGAGCAAAACAGGAUUAGAUACCCUGGUAGUCCACGCCGUAAACGAUGAAUGCCAGUCGUC